AUUGGAAGCGCCAUCCUCUUGCGCGUCUGAUGAGGAAGCAGAACCCGGUGACCGACUGAGCUGCAUUUCUGAAGCAUUUGCUGGGUUUUGCCUCACUAAGCCUCGGGGAGCACUGGGGCGCGGGAUGGGGGACCCUGUCACGGAGCCGACACCUGCUCGCGCGCCUCUCCCCCGCUCACGCCGUGCCGCGGGCUCGCCCUCCCCAUCUGCAGCGCCCGCAGCGCCUGCCCGCCCCGCCCAUCCUUCCUCCUGGGCAACCCAGAGGAUGGCGUGAGGACUCCUGGAAGCCCAGAGGACCGGACCAGGGGCGUGGUGGGGAGCCGUAGACCCGAGUUUUUAUCCUUCUCUGGCGCCGACACUCGGCUGCGGAAUCGAGUUUGAGCUCGGUGUAGCUGAAGUUUAAAUUGUAGCUGUUUCAAAGGUAGACCCCACCUCACCCCCACCCCUGGACCAAGACCUCUGGAAGCGUCCUGCCUGGAAGCCGCUUGUGGGGAGGGCUCUCCUAGGGUCUCCAGGCUCCCGCUGGAGCACGCCUGGAGAUGCCUUGGGAGUCUGAGGAACCCCAGAUUCAGCACCCCUGCUUAACCUGCUUUUAAGAAGAAAAAAAUGGAACUUGAUAAACUUCACUCAAAGGAGAGACCCACUAAUAACUCCACACACCUCACACCGAGUGAAGACGCUGAGACAAUGUAUGUGUGCUCCAGGAAUGACUGGAUGAAACAAAAAGAGAGUCUGGAUGCCAUUAAAAUGUUUGACUAUUGGAUUCCCACGGUUUGGGAUGGGAAGCAGAACUCGGUGAAACUGUAGGUUCUGUGUCCGGGCCAAGCGUUGCUGAAAGGUGGAAGAAUUCAUGGAAAGAAGGUUAUACCAGAAACCAAGAUCUGCUUUUUAAAAGGGAACAUGUACGCUCAUGUUUUGGCUUGAAUUCACUGCCUUUCACCUAUGUGUGGUCCCUCCUGUGCCGAGUCAGCAUGGAGUUCAGGUGGUGGAAGACAAACAGCUCAGAGCUGGACUCAGAACUUGGCAGAGUCCUGCUUUCAACUACAUGCAGCCAGAAAACUCUGGAAAACUGAACUGUUUAUUGGGGUCAAACUUUGGUAAGUCCGAUAAAGUCUGGCUCCAGGUGUCAAUCUAGUCUCUUGAAAGAAUUGCCCAGAAGCUCACUGCUGACUGGCUGGAUGUUACCAGUGGCAUACAGCCUCUGCUUGUGGGUGGAAUCCGGCAGCUCGGACACCGCCCCACGGUUCCUGAUGCAAGCCUGGGCAGGAGCUAGAGCUAGGGGCUUGCAGCCAAGGAGGAGAUAAGUCCAGGGGAGCCCUGCAGGCUAUCAAACCAUCUGCCAGCUGGACUCGCUCCAGGCCACUGGUGACCCUUGCCAUGACACCGGACACCAGUAGCAAGAAAGCCUGCAAUCCAGUAUGCUUCUCUUUUCCUUUCUACAGGACUCCUAGAGUGGAGCUAGCUCCCGUCCUUCCAAAUGCAGCAAUGACAUUAAGGACAUUCGUUCACAUGGUUCACAGUUGGUGUUGGGAAGUUGUCCUACCUGGACAUUGCUGUCAGAGCCAUGGACUAAAAUACUCAAUUCUGGCCUAAAUAAAGCAAGCUCUCGGUGUUAAAGACUUUUUUUUUUUUUUUUUUUUUUUUGAGAUGGAGUCUUGCUCUGUUGCCCGGGCUGGAAUGUAAUGGUGUGAUCUCAGCUUACUGCAACCUCCACCUCCCAGGUUCAAGCAAUUCUCCUGCCUCAGCCUCCUGAGUAGCUGGGAUUACAGGUGCACGCCACCAUACCUGCUAAUUUUUGUAUUAUUAGCAGAGGCGGGGUUUCACCAUGUUGGCCAGGCUGGUCUCCAACUCCUGGCUUCAAGUGAUCCACCCGCCUCAGCCUCCCAAAGUGCUGGGAUUACAGGCGUGAGCCACAGUGCCUGGCCUUUUUGAGGAUUAUUAUAAGUAAAA
Molecule: long non-coding RNA, 1950 nt
Organism: Homo sapiens (human)
Lineage: Eukaryota; Metazoa; Chordata; Mammalia; Primates; Hominidae
Exons: 5
Source: RefSeq, marked validated